This 468-nucleotide ribosomal RNA is filed under the name uncultured bacterium. RNAcentral's name for it is "partial 16S ribosomal RNA". It matches the Rfam family "Bacterial small subunit ribosomal RNA", at positions 28 to 507 of the family's 1533-position model. The record is from RNAcentral.
GACGAACGCUGGCGGCGUGCUUAACACAUGCAAGUCGAACGGACAGGCGCUGCUUUUGCGGGGCGCUCGAGUGGCGAACGCGUGAGUAACACGUGAGUAACCUGCCCCUGUAUUUGGGAUAACUUCACGAAACUGGGGCUAAAACCCGAUAGGAGCUCCUGCUCCAUGGUGGGCGUUGGAAAAUUUCGGCGGUUGGGGCUGGACUCGCGGCUUAUGAGCUUGUUGGUGGGGUAGGGGCUUACAAAGGCUUUGACGGGUAGCCGGCCUGAGAGGUGGAACGGCGACAAUGGGCCUGCGAGAGGGCGCAGACGCGAACGGGAGGCAGUAGUGGAGAACAUUGCACAAUGACGGGGAGUCUGAGGCAGAGACGUUCGGUGCGGAAUGAUGGCUUUCGGGUUGUAAACCGCUUUGGACUGUGACGAAGAGGGAGUGACGGUAAUGGGUAAAGAAGCAACGGCUAACUACGUG